AGAGUUUGAUUCUGGCUCAGAUUGAACGCUGGCGGAAUGCUUUACACAUGCAAGUCGAACGGCAGCACGGGAGCUUGCUCCUGGUGGCGAGUGGCGAACGGGUGAGUAAUGCGUCGGAACGUACCGAGUAAUGGGGGAUAACGCGGCGAAAGUCGCGCUAAUACCGCAUACGCCCUGAGGGGGAAAGUGGGGGAUCGCAAGACCUCACGUUAUUCGAGCGGCCGACGUCUGAUUAGCUAGUUGGUGGGGUAAAGGCCUACCAAGGCGACGAUCAGUAGCGGGUCUGAGAGGAUGAUCCGUCACACUGGGACUGAGACACGGCCCAGACUCCUACGGGAGGCAGCAGUGGGGAAUUUUGGACAAUGGGGGCAACCCUGAUCCAGCCAUUCCGCGUGAGUGAAGAAGGCCUUCGGGUUGUAAAGCUCUUUCAGCUGGAACGAAACGGUACGCUCUAACAUAGCGUGCUAAUGACGGUACCGGCAGAAGAAGCACCGGCUAACUACGUGCCAGCAGCCGCGGUAAUACGUAGGGUGCGAGCGUUAAUCGGAAUUACUGGGCGUAAAGCGUGCGCAGGCGGAUUGUUAAGCAAGACGUGAAAGCCCCGGGCUUAACCUGGGAAUGGCGUUUUGAACUGGCAGUCUAGAGUGCGUCAGAGGGGGGUGGAAUUCCACGUGUAGCAGUGAAAUGCGUAGAGAUGUGGAGGAACACCAAUGGCGAAGGCAGCCCCCUGGGAUGACACUGACGCUCAUGUACGAAAGCGUGGGUAGCAAACAGGAUUAGAUACCCUGGUAGUCCACGCCCUAAACGAUGUCAACUGGUUGUUGGGGGAGUGAAAUCCCUUAGUAACGAAGCUAACGCGUGAAGUUGACCGCCUGGGGAGUACGGUCGCAAGAUUAAAACUCAAA
RNAcentral lists this ribosomal RNA (905 nucleotides) under uncultured bacterium. RNAcentral's name for it is "bacterial SSU rRNA". It matches the Rfam family "Bacterial small subunit ribosomal RNA", at positions 8 to 905 of the family's 1533-position model. The record is from RNAcentral.